CCCUUCUCAGGGUCACACCUGGAGAGUUUCCAGUGCUCUACUAGUUUUGACUGUGGGAGGGAGAGUCAAGCAGAGGUUUACCCAUUCCAUUCUCAGCUUGGGCAGUGGCUAGCUAAUGGAAGGCAAUCUGCAACAAGU
Ornithorhynchus anatinus (platypus) is the source of this 138-nucleotide small nucleolar RNA. NCBI's taxonomy places the organism in Eukaryota, Metazoa, Chordata, Mammalia, Monotremata, Ornithorhynchidae. The record is from RefSeq and is a predicted model, not a curated record.